GGACGAACGCUGGCGGCGUGGAUUAGGCAUGCAAGUCGAGCGCGAACGAGAGACUUCGGUUUCUUUAGUAGAGUGGCGGACGGGUGAGUAACGCGUAGAUUAUCUGCCUUUAAGUGGGGGACAGCCCCGGGAAACCGGGAUUAAUACCGCAUAACAACUUUCGGGGUUAAAGACGGCCUCUGUUACAAGCUGUCGCUUAAAGAUGAGUCUGCGUCCUAUUAGCUUGUUGGUGAGGUAACGGCUCACCAAGGCGAUGAUAGGUAGGCCGCCUUAACGGGUGGUCGCCCACACUUGGAUUGAGAUACGCCCCAGACUCCUACGGGAGGCAGCAGUCGAGAAUAGUCUACAAUGGAGGAAACUCUGAUAGUGCGACGCCGCGUGAACGAAGAAGCAUUUCGGUGUGUAAAGUUCUUUUCUUUGUGAGCAAUGGUUUAUAGAUAAAUAGGUUAUAGACAGAGAUAUUAGCAGAGGAAUAAGCUCCGGCUAACUCCGUGCCAGCAGCCGCGGUAACACCCGGGGAGCAAGCGUUGUCCGGAAUUACUAGGCGUAAAGGGCAAGUAGGCGGAAGUAUCAGUCAGAUGUUAAAGGCACGGGCUCAACCGGUGUAUGGCAUUUGAUACUGUAAUUCUAGAGUAAGGUAGGGGAAGACGGAAUUCCCGGUGUAGCGGUGGAAUGCGCAGAUAUCCGGAGGAACACCGGAGGCGAAGGCGGUCUUCUAUGCCAUUACUGACGCUGAAUUGCGAAGGUGUGGGUAU
RNAcentral lists this ribosomal RNA (755 nucleotides) under uncultured bacterium. Its description in RNAcentral is "bacterial SSU rRNA". It matches the Rfam family "Bacterial small subunit ribosomal RNA", at positions 27 to 768 of the family's 1533-position model. The record is from RNAcentral.